GUGCUCGCUCCAGCAGCACAUAUCCUAAAAUUGGAAUGAUACAAGAAGAUUAGCAAGGCCCCUAUGCAAGGAUGACACGCAAAUUCAUGAAGCUUUCCAAAUUUAA
Molecule: small nuclear RNA, 106 nt
Organism: Echinops telfairi (small Madagascar hedgehog)
Lineage: Eukaryota; Metazoa; Chordata; Mammalia; Afrosoricida; Tenrecidae
Source: Ensembl